This 293-nucleotide long non-coding RNA is filed under the name Populus tremula. Its description in RNAcentral is "long non-coding RNA (PTRE_LNC000697)". The record is from RNAcentral. Lineage: Eukaryota; Viridiplantae; Streptophyta; Magnoliopsida; Malpighiales; Salicaceae.
UCGGCCACCGCUAGUGCGGACGUCGAGAGGGAGAGUUCAGGUAUUGCCUUCAAGGUUUAAUGAUUCAAUUAUUGAUAAUUGGAGAAAAGAAAGUAAGACUAGUUCGCGUGAUUAUAGCGUUGAUGAUAAUGAUAAUGAUAAUGAUAAUGAAAAUGAUAAUGAUAAAGAUGACGAUGACUAUGUCGUUGAUGACGAUGACGAUGAUGUUGAUUAUGAUGUUCAGUUUAAGAGUAAUAGAAAGGUUAAAGAGAAAGAGAGAACGGGUUUGGGAUUGCGUAGAAUGGGUAGUAAUG